Wasmannia auropunctata (little fire ant) is the source of this 370-nucleotide long non-coding RNA. RefSeq lists it as uncharacterized. The record is from RefSeq and is a predicted model, not a curated record. The transcript has 3 exons. NCBI's taxonomy places the organism in Eukaryota, Metazoa, Arthropoda, Insecta, Hymenoptera, Formicidae.
CGUUGUUAGCAAAUCAUAAACGUACAGGCUAAUACAGCUUGAGUUUUAAUAAGCAUUGAGAUGCGUCUGUCAUUUCUAUCAUUGGCUUUUGCCAUAAUCUUUAUUGUGACAAUUAUGCACGCACCUGAAGCGAAAGCAGAGGCCAUCUCCGAACCUGAUGCCCAAUCUUUGCCCACUGAAAUUAGGUUUGGAAAAAAAUAGAUUCUUGAAUUUUCCAAACCUUGAAUUUGUAUGUUUAAGGAAUUUACGAAACGCGUACUCGACAUGGCAAAUGAAAUAGCUGCAUUUUUCGUGGAAUGAAAUUUCGGUGAAAUAGGGAAAAAUCUUGCAAUUAAGUUGUCACAUUACAAAAAAUGCAUAAAUGUUAUUA